AAGAUUAGGAAAUAUGAUUACUGGCUUCGGUUUCAAUUGGUUCAUCAAAUUCAUAUUUUUUAAAUAUCAACAACUUAUUAAAGAACUAAUAAUUGACCAGUUUCUUAAAACGGGUGAUAUAAAAACUUUUAAUAACUGAUACACUAUGUCGAUGCCGUAUUGUUUCCCAUUUCCUUUUGUCAUUAUACUGCAGUUUGCGCAGUUAAAGUGAUUGAACGAAAGUAUACACAUAAUAGAUUUACAAAAUGCUGAAACCCAUCACAAGGAGUUGAUGGUUGAAUCUGUGAAAGUCCUGUUAAAUGUAAAAAAAUAUAAACGACAAUAGAUCUCACGAGACUGGCAAAAAGAACGAUUAAGCCAAUUUUAAAAUACCGCCGGCUUCCAGUUAAUAUACAUAGCGCAUCCACAUUGCUAAACAAAACUACCCAUUCUACGACGGUUGCCGCUAUAGAAAGGUCGUAGUCCCAAAUUACCAUGAAAACGGGUAGCAUUCUUGUGCUAGAAGAAAGUAUUACAGCGCCAGACGCAGAAGUCCAAGAUUUCCAACCCAUUGUUAGGCAUAAUAACAGAACUACUGAAAUUUGAUACACAGUUGUCUCAACCAAACAUAUUAGCAGUAAAGUCAAGUACUGCCGGAUAAUUGGCUGGGAGAGAAAUGCUUGGGCAGGUGUGAAGUAGGGGAAGAGGGCUGCGCGUUUUUCUAGUCGUGACCAAACUAAAAAAACGUUGAAAAGGGAAAUUAAUAUGCAGAAAUUGACAACCUUUGCGCAUUUUGUCAGCUAUUUAAAAAGCCAUUGAAAUGAAUAAAAUACUUACGUUACGAAAUGUUCGUGCCGACAGAGAAUUAAACAAAAGAUGACGGUAAACUUGCGGUUUCAUCAAAAUUACAUCCAUGCUGAUGAGAACAACAUCUAAUUCAAUGUAUUUGUCCGCAAACUGUUUGCAGUUUUUCUGUAACAUAGUCGUUAGUUUGAAAUUGUACUUAAAAAAAACUAAAGAACAAGUCGAUCUUAACGAUUACAGCAAGACUACGCAUUCCACUCUCAGUAUUCAUUAAGCAAGAUAAAUGGAGACAAAAAUUGAAUGAUCGUCAUUUGCUUACAAUAAUGUAAAUUAUAUUUGAAGAGAAAAAUAUUCAUGAAGCUUCUUUUCGUCGCCGUUGGAAUGGACUUGCCCUUAGCUCCUUACGAUCAAGUUGACUACAUCAACGAAACAUAUUGUGUGUAUAUUACUUACGCAUUGAGCUAGUCGAAUAUUACUGGUACCCCUUCCAUAAUAUGUGUAUAAAGAAUCGACUUCCGCGCCGCAUUCGACGCAUUUCAUGGUGACGGGUGGUGGUGUCAAUGUAUUGAGGUAUGUUUAUGAACCAAACAUUCGUAUUCUUGGUUGACAUGUAAAAACAAUGAAGAUAUAUAGAAUUUAAAGAAAAAAUGAAACAAGUAAGCUUAUCUUUAUUUGCAUAGAAACAUAAAUACUAAAACUUAUCCCAGAGUUCUACCAAUUUUAAAUUUUAUUUGAACACUACCCAAUUCCGUUAACAGACGAGUUGUAAAGCCAAAAAACCACCAAUGUCAAACCUAAAUUUUACAGUUCUUCAAUAAUAUAAACAAAUACUGCUUUCACUACAUAUUUAAAAGAUUUGCGAAAUAACCACGUCGAUUCCAGCAUAAAAUCACUAACUCUCAAAACAAUGCAGACUGACUGGAGCGAAAGAACGUAGUAUAGACUUAGUCACAUUUACAAGAUUAAGCGUCUAUUAAAAAGAUUUUACAAAGGCUAAAAUAUUCGUAGAAAUGAGAAACGUGAAAACAACAUUCAAUUGAUUGA
Molecule: long non-coding RNA, 1827 nt
Filed under: Schizosaccharomyces pombe (fission yeast)
Lineage: Eukaryota; Fungi; Ascomycota; Schizosaccharomycetes; Schizosaccharomycetales; Schizosaccharomycetaceae
Source: RNAcentral